UACGUAGGGUGCGAGCGUUGUCCGGAAUUAUUGGGCGUAAAGAGCUUGUAGGCGGUUUGUCGCGUCUGCUGUGAAGACUCGGGGCUCAACUCCGAGCUUGCAGUCGAUACGGGCAGGCUAGAGUUCGGCAGGGGAGACUGGAAUUCCUGGUGUAGCGGUGAAAUGCGCAGAUAUCAGGAGGAACACCGGUGGCGAAGGCGGGUCUCUGGGCCGAUACUGACACUGAGGAGCGAAAGCGUGGGGAGCGAACAGG
RNAcentral lists this ribosomal RNA (253 nucleotides) under uncultured bacterium. RNAcentral's name for it is "partial 16S ribosomal RNA". It matches the Rfam family "Bacterial small subunit ribosomal RNA", at positions 524 to 776 of the family's 1533-position model. The record is from RNAcentral.